CGUGAGGAAUUUGCCCAUCGGCGGGGGAUAGCCGGCCCAACGGCCGGGUAAUACCGCGUACGUCGGAAUGAGCGCAUGCUCGAUCCGGGAAAGCAGCAAUGCACCGAUGGAGAACCUCGCGGCCUAUCAGCUAGUUGGUGGGGUAAUGGCCUACCAAGGCGACGACGGGUAGCUGGUCUGAGAGGAUGAUCAGCCACAUUGGGACUGAGACACGGCCCAG
RNAcentral lists this ribosomal RNA (220 nucleotides) under uncultured bacterium. Its description in RNAcentral is "partial 16S ribosomal RNA". It matches the Rfam family "Bacterial small subunit ribosomal RNA", at positions 116 to 334 of the family's 1533-position model. The record is from RNAcentral.